GAUGAAGAACGUAGCGAAAUGCGAUAAGUAAUGUGAAUUGCAGAAUUCAGUGAAUCAUCGAAUCUUUGAACGCACAUUGCGCCCCCUGGUAUUCCGGGGGGCAUGCCUGUCCGAGCGUCAUUACAACCCUCAAGCUCAGCUUGGUGUUGGGCCCCACCGCCCCGGCGGGCCCUAAAGUCAGUGGCGGUGCCGUCCGGCUCCGAGCGUAGUAAUUCUUCUCGCUCUGGAGGUCCGGUCGUGUGCUCGCCAGCAACCCCCAAUUUUUUUCAGGUUGACCUCGGAUCAGGUAGGGAUACCCGCUGAACUUAAGCAUAUCAAUAAGCGGAGGA
RNAcentral lists this unclassified non-coding RNA (329 nucleotides) under soil metagenome. RNAcentral describes it as "partial contains 5.8S ribosomal RNA, internal transcribed spacer 2, and large subunit ribosomal RNA". The stretch from base 1 to 120 matches the Rfam family "5.8S ribosomal RNA", at positions 35 to 154 of the family's 154-position model. The record is from RNAcentral.